AGGUUAUGAUUUAUGCCCUCAAUUGCAGAUUUUUAGUAGUGAGUAGCUUGAAGCCAAUCGCCCAUUUGACUAUUGAGGCUAGUCACUCGAGCAUUAAAGUUUUUUCCGUCUAAUACUUCUUGCUAACUGGCGACUAAAACCUAAUCUUCUUCUGGAAAUAUGCAAUCCCAACCGCCGUUGCUACGCCUCUCUCCGGACUCUACUCCGCCAUGAAACAUCCGUACACCCUUCAAGUUUUCAUUUUUAAGGAGUCGGAGAUGAAGUUUUUCUCAAAAGCAUUCUAAACUCUAUCGAGACUGUAGCAAGACGAAGGGUCCAGAGCUUGGACCCAAGUUGGUGGUACAGAGAUUGGACCAGAAUGGUCUGAAACAAACGUUCAAGUACUAAUAAAAAGAUGAAAACUUGGUAAGACCAUAUAGUUUAUUUUCUACAAUUCAAGAUUGUAUUAGUGCAUCCAUCGCAUGACCCUAUCCAUUCAUCUCGGUAUGUAUUUGUUAAACUUGUGAUACAAAUAAUUUUAAUAUCAUGGAACUUAAUGCUUAUACAUGAAUGGUUUAUUUGUAGGUAGUCCAUAAGGAUUGAGGACGCAACAUGACUCAAGAUUUUAUGCUUUUUAUUUCUUUAAUUGCUUUUAAUUUCUUUGUUAAAUGUUGACUUUAUGUUAGAUAACGUUAUAACUUAUUUACGGUUAGUGUUUUUGUUAUGAACAUGUUUAUUUGAAAUAUAAUGAAGUUUUGUUUCUU
RNAcentral lists this long non-coding RNA (743 nucleotides) under Helianthus annuus (common sunflower). Its description in RNAcentral is "hypothetical non coding rna". The record is from RNAcentral. Lineage: Eukaryota; Viridiplantae; Streptophyta; Magnoliopsida; Asterales; Asteraceae.